UUUUGAAGGAGAUCAAGGAGAAGAAAGGUUGAAUCAAGGGUUUGGAACUUGUAUAAGCUUGGCUUUCAAGAUUUCUUCAAGAUUGAGAUUUGAGCUUGGAUUGAAGUGUGGAGAUAGGAGGAGAAGGGAUUGAGCAAGGGUUUGAAGAAUUGACUAAGGUUAUUUGAACUUGGA
This is a long non-coding RNA of Tripterygium wilfordii, 174 nucleotides long. RefSeq lists it as uncharacterized. The record is from RefSeq and is a predicted model, not a curated record. The transcript has 3 exons. Lineage: Eukaryota; Viridiplantae; Streptophyta; Magnoliopsida; Celastrales; Celastraceae.